Boleophthalmus pectinirostris (great blue-spotted mudskipper) is the source of this 802-nucleotide long non-coding RNA. RefSeq lists it as uncharacterized. Lineage: Eukaryota; Metazoa; Chordata; Actinopteri; Gobiiformes; Gobiidae. The transcript is spliced from 5 exons. The record is from RefSeq and is a predicted model, not a curated record.
CUACCACCAGGCGGCGCUAGAGCACGUAAAAAGCGAGCAGUUAUUUCACAAGUGUAAUGUCAUGAUAAUGAUGUGAUGGUUUUCCGGAGAGACCAGUAUAAGCGUCUUGGUCCUGACUGAUAUACACUAUAUUCUCAACUGUCUUUCAGUCGUGUUAGUGAAGAGGCAUGCCACAAAGGUCGGUUUGGGUGACAUUUGAUACCCUCCACAACGCCAUUGGACGAAGGGGCGACUGGGGGGCACUGUCCUGGGCACGCCACCCCUCCCACUCCUCCCACCGACCACCUACCACCAUUUUUUGCUGGCACUCAAAAAAGGAGAUGCAAGGAGGCAAGCGUUAAGGACUGAAUGGACUGAAUGCUUCAUCUCCAUCACUGGACGUACUCAGGCUCUUCAUCCUCUCGGCCGCCUCCAUCCUCCUCCUCUCUAUCUCCUCCUUCAUACGCCUCUUCUCCUCCUUGGAACAAAAAUCAGCUCCUCCAGCUCGUGCUCUGCCUCAGCCUGCCUAUGCCUCAGCUGCUCCAGCUCCUGGCUCUCCUUCUCCUGUAGACCACGCCGGAUCUUCUCCAAGCGCCGCUCCGUCUCCAGGAUGGCCUCACUCUCCUCCGGCUCAGCAGCACGACUACAGGCACAACAGAAAGAGGAGGAAAGUACUGUAUGAUGAGCUGCCUAAAAGGAAUCCACCUCCUGCAUUCCCCACAUGAUUAAGACAUGGCCAUCCUAGUGCAUCAUGGGAGCCCCUUUUUUAGAGCAGCUCUGUUUGAGUUUUAGAGUGCCAGCGCAGUGAUCUGUAAAGUGCACC